CGGGGCUCCGGGGCGUCUGGCCUGGGUGGGACUGAGCCCAUCCAGGGACUGGGACUCCGGGGUUGUGGUGUAGGUGGAUCCGGGGCAGGCUCAGGACCAAGUCCCACUCCUUCCACCAAGGAGCGCCCAGAGGCCGGCGGCAGCUCCAGGUUCACCUCCUCCUCCUCCAGGCCAUUUCCAAUCCAGAGGAAGACCUUCUAAAAGAGGUGAUGGAUGGGAGAGUGCUGACAUACUAUGUGAAGCUACUAUUUGGAGUUGGACACGAGUGCAUGUGACCUUGUGCCACAGCGGCAAUCUUGACUACCACACAAAUGAAUCCAUUCAAAUGUUGGCAAGUGGAGCAGAGUCCCAGGACAGGAGGCGCUCGGAAACCACCGUGAAUUGGACCGCACUGGGAAGCACAGAUGAAGAAAUUCAGCACCGCUUUGUCCUUCAGUGCCUGGCUGCUUUUUCAGCUCGUCUUGCGACUCCAGGCAAGCUAAACCAGUUCUGGAAGAACCUGCGGGAGUCUCAGCAGCUCUGAUGGGAUGAGAGCUGGGUGCAGACUGUGCUCCCUUUGGUUAUGGACACAUAACUCCUGGGCCAGAGGCUAAAACCCCAGGGCCCCUGCUGUCCUUCCCACAGCUUCUUCUUGGAGUCUCAGGGCAAAUCCUUUUGAGCAGCGCCUCCCAGUGGCCAGAAGCUGAAAUGACGGCAGUGGUGCCACCUGGUGAAUGACCCGGGAAGCUGUGGUUGGCCCUGAUUUCUUCUUUGGAGUCUCCGAAACGCUUCCUGUCUUCUGUUCUUCACGCCCCAUGCCCCUGCUAGCAUAUUACUGUUCUGUGACUUCCCUGUGACCUCUACAGUACUCCCAAUCCUGCAUUUGGUCUCCAGGUGUCACCUUUCUUCCAUGUUCCUAACACUUUGAUUCCUGUCUUGAAAAAAGCACCUGCUGCACCAUAAGCCCAGGGAUGUGGCAGCUGCAGCGGGCUUAGAUUUGUGAGGAACCGAGUGUGUCCGGGGAUGUGGCAACUGCAGCGGGCUUGGCUUUGUGAGGAAUCGAAUGUGUCCAGGGAUGUGGCAGCUGCAGCAGGCUUGGUUUUAUGAGGAACCGAGUGUGUCCACGUGGGGGAACGUCAUAGUUGAUACACACGUUUUUAUUUGCACAAAGAAAAUGCUAUUUUUGGAGCCAGAAUUUUCAUGUCUGAUUUAUGGUGAUUUUCUUAAGAACCAGAACUGCUGGCAGAAAGGGGGCACCCACACGCUUAGAUAGCCGAUGUCUUAUUAGAGGGCAGUUUGUGGUUCCUGAUUUGGAAUUUAACAUUCUCCAAACAUUCCAGUCCAAUGAAAGUUUUAUCCCCUUUCUCAUAUAAAAAUUCUUCCCACGAGAGUGACUUGAUUCUCACAAUCCCGUUGGAGUCGUGUGUGAGUCCUACAGUGUGAGGUUCAGCAUUGCCAUCUCCAAGUGCUCUCCGUAGGGAAACAGUUUCUGGUCAUGAUGAGCUUCCGCUUCCCAUCUGAUCCCAGCCCAGCCUGGAAACAGAGCACGUGUUUGAGGAUGGCGGUGUUUGGGGACAGGACAUGUGCGUUUUGUGUGGGGCUGCUAGGACAGGCCUGGCGGGGUGGGGGGUGUCUAAGUCAGUUUACUUGCUUCACAGGUUCCCAGGCCCACCCACGUACCUAGAAUUGGCCUCCAGGAUGGGACCGGAAAUCUGGUUUUGCAUAGAAAUGGCUAGCAGCAGGCACCAUGCCGCUGUCCACUCUCUGCCCGCGUCUGCCCCAGCACUUGGCACAGCAGGACCGAAGCAGAGAUCUGAACCCACAUCUACCUGGCUG
RNAcentral lists this long non-coding RNA (1815 nucleotides) under Pan troglodytes (chimpanzee). RNAcentral describes it as "long non-coding RNA NONPTRT016950". Lineage: Eukaryota; Metazoa; Chordata; Mammalia; Primates; Hominidae. The record is from RNAcentral.